CCCCAGCAUCACUUGAAGGUUAUCCCCAACAGCUGAACAACAACAAGACGUCGCCAUUCUUAUUUUAUGCUUGACAGUUUUAAGUAGUGAAAGUCAUAAAAAUCAGCGUGUGUAAAUAGAAUGUGCAGCUCAGUAACCACUCCAGGCUGUAUGUGGUCAACGGGGGUGCAUCAGUAGCUGAGAAAACACAGUCAGCAUAUUGAAGGUUCCAGACUAACUCAACCUAGACCAGGUCGGAAGUUACAUCAGCCAGGGGGUCCAACAGAUUUCUUUUGUCUUCCCUUUCCACCCGAUGACGGUGAAGACUAGUGAAAGGCCAAGAAGAAGCUAAACAGGGGAUAAUGAAACUGGCAGAAGCACUAAGACACCUAAUUUGUGGAAGGAAAGAAAAAUAGUCGCUAGAUUAAAUUAAUUCUUUUAUAUUUCUUUCAAUUUAUGGCAUCUGUCUUGACCAGCCCUACUGUCACUGCAUUACACACCCAAGUUUUAUUGUAGACCUGCUGAGAAAAGAAGCUCUGACAUCACCAACAUAAUGUAUUAUUGAGUACGUGUACGUGUACAAAAUUGUCAUAUAUCAUUUGAUUUCUGCAAUUCAUUCAAUAUGCACCGGACACAAAUCUUAGCAAAUUUAAUAACUCUUUCACCGACCAAAACACACCCAGGUGCUGGCAGGUUCCAAAUAUAACCAUAAAGUAUCUGAUUGUAGUACACUAUGUCUCAUACAAGAAACAUUCUAAAAUUGCUAAAAAACUACGUUUUUUAAACAAAUUUCUCUGACGUGAAAAUAAAUACGUAAGGAUACGAGAGAUCCGUAUUUUUAAUGUAAAUGUAUAGCCUUCUUAUCACUAUAAACGACCAAUAUACUACUGGUAUUUCAUCAUAAAAGAACAACAUAAACCUAAAUGAUGUACUUUACUAUUAUACAGUGCAUUUAUUGAUUUACUAGUUGUUGAAAUCUAUGGACUUAAUAAAUAACAUUAUGUCCAGUGU
Molecule: long non-coding RNA, 990 nt
Organism: Zootermopsis nevadensis
Lineage: Eukaryota; Metazoa; Arthropoda; Insecta; Blattodea; Termopsidae
Source: RefSeq, a predicted model, not a curated record